GUCUAUGGCUAUGCUAUCCUGAACAAGCCUGAUCCUGAUCCCGUCUGAUCUCAGAAGCUAAGCAGGGUCAGGCCUGGUUAGUACUUGGAUGGGAGACCAACUAGGAAGACCAGGUGCUGUAGGCA
Molecule: ribosomal RNA, 125 nt
Filed under: Pteropus alecto (black flying fox)
Lineage: Eukaryota; Metazoa; Chordata; Mammalia; Chiroptera; Pteropodidae
Source: RNAcentral